GGUUCCUCCACUACUCCUAGAGGGCUGCCUCAACAGACUGUAGGAAAAUUAAUUCAUGGACUGCUCGAGUUAAACACCGGGAGCAGUGGAUCACUGAACAAUCUGCAGAAGGGCUCUGGAGACACACUAACACUGCAGAGCUGGGAUGUUUUCUCCAGGGAAGGGCCUGGACAGCACAGCUGAGCACCAUCAACUUGCGCAGCCAUGAGGCACAACACUUCAAAAGGCCUACCCCUCCAGGGGUUUGUCUGAGGCUGACUAGAUGUGUCAAGGGACUUGUCAGAAGGCAACAAGAGAUCAUCAUGUCUAGUUCUCAGCUCA
Molecule: long non-coding RNA, 321 nt
Filed under: Gallus gallus (chicken)
Lineage: Eukaryota; Metazoa; Chordata; Aves; Galliformes; Phasianidae
Source: RNAcentral